Molecule: long non-coding RNA, 724 nt
Filed under: Homo sapiens (human)
Lineage: Eukaryota; Metazoa; Chordata; Mammalia; Primates; Hominidae
Description: HSALNT0263845
Source: RNAcentral
AGGGGGACUUCACACGGAGGAAUGAGGGGUGGGAUGCAGUGACAUCACAAGGGUCCCAUUAUGACCCCUCCUCCAUCAGCUAAGGGGGGAUGGGCUGAGCCUGAACAGAGGGAGAGGGGAGUAAAUAAGGGGCUGUUGCCAGAGCCUGAGCCCACCAGAGAAAGUCUGUGUGCAGAGGGAGGGCCUCAGGUCCUGCUGCUCCUUCAUCUUGACCCCUUCACACCCUCCUCUAACAGGGACCUCGACCUCCCUUCUCCACUCUCCUGGAUCCUGCUCAGUGUGGUGCAGGCCUUCUCUGGGGCCCUGGAGUUCCCACUGACCUUCAGCCCCGCCAGUUGCAUCUGCUGUUCCCACUGAAGGUUAGUGGACAGGGUGGAGGUGGCUAAAGGUGGAAAAGAUACUUUGUGAGAGGGGGACCCCAACACGAGGACAGGGCACUGACGGAGCCUUUACCAAAAUGCUGGGAAAGGUCUCCCCACCAUCCACAUAUUCUCUCCCAGGCCUCAAAGGGCCCUCCCCAGUCUCCAGCUGUCAGCUUUCCCACCUCCACCUUCUCUCCUCCUUUCGGUUCUGCUUCUGAAUUUCUUCAAAAAUUCUCCUGCAUCAAGACUCUCAUGCUAGUCAGUUCCUGCCUGGGGUCACCAGACUGCUUCGAAGUCAGGAAGAACAUGGUGGGGACGGUGACUUGAGUUUCCUGGACCACAGUGCAGGUGAGAAAUGCACC